AUUGAACGCUGGCGGCAUGCCUUACACAUGCAAGUCGAACGGUAACAGGUCUUCGGAUGCCGACGAGUGGCGAACGGGUGAGUAAUACAUCGGAACGUGCCUAGUAGUGGGGGAUAACUACUCGAAAGAGUGGCUAAUACCGCAUGAGAUCUACGGAUGAAAGCAGGGGAUCGCAAGACCUUGUGCUACUAGAGCGGCCGAUGGCAGAUUAGGUAGAUGGUGGGAUAAAAGCUUACCAAGCCGACGAUCUGUAGCUGGUCUAAGAGGACGAUCAGCCGCACUGGGACUGAGGCACGGCCCAUAAUCCUACGGGAGGCAGCAGUGGGGAAUAUUGGCGAAUGGGCGAAAGCCUGAUCCAGCAAUGCCGCGUGCAGGAUGAAGGCCUUCGGGUUGUGAACUGCUUUUGCACGGAACGAAAAGCCCUGGGUUAAUACCCUGGGGUCAUGACGGUACCGUAAGAAUAAGCACCGGCUAACUACGUGCCAGCCGCCGCAGUAA
RNAcentral lists this ribosomal RNA (498 nucleotides) under uncultured bacterium. Its description in RNAcentral is "partial 16S ribosomal RNA". It matches the Rfam family "Bacterial small subunit ribosomal RNA", at positions 30 to 523 of the family's 1533-position model. The record is from RNAcentral.